UACGGAGGUGGCAAGCGGUGCUCGGAAUCACUGGGCGUAAAGGGCGCGUAGGCGGGGGGGUAAGUCGGGUGUGAAAUCCCUCGGCCCAACUGAGGAACUGCGCCCGAGACUGCUUCUCUUGAGUCCCGGAGAGGAAGGUGGAAUUCCCGGUGUAGCGGUGAAAUGUGUAGAGAUCGGGAGGAACACCGGUGGCGAAGGCGGCCUUCUGGACGGUGACUGACGCUGAGGCGCGAAAGCGUGGGGAGCAAACGGG
This 253-nucleotide ribosomal RNA is filed under the name uncultured bacterium. Its description in RNAcentral is "partial 16S ribosomal RNA". It matches the Rfam family "Bacterial small subunit ribosomal RNA", at positions 524 to 776 of the family's 1533-position model. The record is from RNAcentral.